Tachyglossus aculeatus (Australian echidna) is the source of this 138-nucleotide small nucleolar RNA. The record is from RefSeq and is a predicted model, not a curated record. Lineage: Eukaryota; Metazoa; Chordata; Mammalia; Monotremata; Tachyglossidae.
CCCCUCUCAGGGUCGCACCUGGAGAAUUUCCAGUACUCUACCAGUUUCAGCUACGGGAGGGAGAGUCAAACUGAGGCCUUCCCAUUUCAUUCCUAGCUUGGGUAGUAGCUAGCAAGUGGAAGAUAAUCUGCUACAAGU